CAUAGAGGGUGAGAAUCCCGUAUUUGACCAUUAUUUUCAGCUGUGUGAUACACUUUCAAAGAGUCGGAUUGUUUGGGAAUGCAGUCCAAAAUGGGUGGUAAAUUUCAUCUAAAGCUAAAUAUUGGCGAGAGACCGAUAGCGAACAAGUACCGUGAGGGAAAGAUGAAAAGAACUUUGAAAAGAGAGUUAAACAGUACGUGAAAUUGUCAAAAGGGAAGCGUUUGACACCAGUGUUGUUUUCUCGAAAAUCAAUUAAAAAAAGUUGGAUUUUGUGUUUGUAUGACCUUAACAGCUUCUUUCACUUUUUUCCUGCCUUUUUUAAUGCACUUUUCGUUUAACAAGUCAACAUCAGUUUCUUUUGUUGUAAAAAGGUCAUUGGAAGGUGGCUUUCUUUUCGGAGAAAGUGUUUAUAGCCUUUGACUCCUGCAAUCGGAGAGACUGAGGUCUGCAGCGUAGAUCCUUCGGGGUUAGAUACAUUUGUGCUAAGUUAUAGCUUUUCAUAGACAACUUGUUGACUAUGUUUAGUCAUGUAGCUUACUCGCUUAUGCUAUUUUACCUACGCUUAGGAUGUUGAA
This 575-nucleotide ribosomal RNA is filed under the name uncultured Neocallimastigomycetes. Its description in RNAcentral is "partial large subunit ribosomal RNA". It matches the Rfam family "Eukaryotic large subunit ribosomal RNA", at positions 204 to 630 of the family's 3401-position model. The record is from RNAcentral. Lineage: Eukaryota; Fungi; Neocallimastigomycota; Neocallimastigomycetes.